UAGACAGAAAAAAAGUAGAAGCCACUAUUUUAUAUAUUCGCUAAAAAAGAUCACAGCUUACAAUACAAAAAAAGAAAAAGAGAAGCUGGGGUUACUAGAAGUGAACACAUUAAUUAUUUAUAAGUACACCAUAUUUAUAUAAAAUAAAAGAUAUAGUUAACUCAUGAAGAAAUCACUAGGCUACUACUCACUCUUUAUACAUGAUAAUUACAUACACAUGCUUUUUUUUAUAUGCUAGA
Molecule: long non-coding RNA, 239 nt
Filed under: Solanum tuberosum (potato)
Lineage: Eukaryota; Viridiplantae; Streptophyta; Magnoliopsida; Solanales; Solanaceae
Description: long non-coding RNA (STUB_LNC004645)
Source: RNAcentral